GGGACGUGAUCAUGGAUGGAACACUCUCCUGGAUACCAUUUGUUGUGCAAACAAUAACUAUGGCCAGAUGUGUCCAUCGCCGGCGAUAUCGUAUGGGUGUUGGUUACAAGCGAAAACCUGAUGGGACUGUAAUUGAGAACUACUGGGAGCAAAUUGAAGAAGAUCAAUUGCAAGAAGGAGGGAAAAGGAGGAAGCCAUACAGAAUAGAGCUGGUUGGGGUUGUUUGUGAAGCCUAUUUAGCGGUCAUUAGAGGCAUAAGGUACUGCACCAUGGAAAACAUUAGAGACAGUUGUCUUAGUUUUAGUACGAAGUCUUUUCCCCUUUAGCUGAGAUAUUGAUUUUAUCAAGAAAUUCAAUAUUUACAGGAGAGCUAUAAUGUGUAGACGCGCUGUAAGGGUGCAGUCACAAUUGAAAUCCCACAAGAGAUUUGCAAAUGCGUUUCCAACAUAUUGCCAACUGGUUGACAGUGCUAGGCUGUAUUCCACCAAUGCUUUGGAAGGUCCACCUAAGGUGAAUUAACUAUCCGACAUUUUCAAUCUUUAUUUACUUAACAGGUGACAUAAAACUGAAAGGAACACCUAGUUCACCAAAGAAUUUUAUCAUGCAAGAAAUGCUAUUUGUAAAUUGUUUGACAUUUCAAUACAGGAGGCUUUUGUCUCUGGUACAAAAUUAGAUGAGGAGAACUGGCUUUCUCUUAAAGCCAUGAACCCUGCUCAAUCUUUCAGGAAGAUCAUAAGCAGGCUUACCACUAGUCUAAUUUUAUUGGAAAAAAACCAUAGUAGUAUGAAAAACAGCUGACACUGUUGUAAAGUAGCAAUCUACAAAUAGAACUCCUUUCUAGGCAUGCAAACUUCCAUUUUCUUGUUCAGGACUGAACUCAUUCAAGUGUCUGGUUGUAGAAUUGGUGAGAGAGUGGUUUUGAACCCUCACAAGUCCAAGACAACUAAGUUGAGAUUAAACCAAACCUAAGCGGAGAAAAAUUCCAGCAGCCCAGUUUACUCCAUUAUAAUCCUAAAACUGAAAUCUAGGAGGAAGAGAAAAUAGCCUUGUCUGUUACAGAUAACUGCAGGCUGCAGCAUGCAGGGAUAAACAAAUAAAUUGUGAAGGAACUUCAUUGCUAGCAAAAUUACUCCAUGCAACCAAUUAUGUAGCAUUAACAUGAAAAUUUUUGUAAAGUUGAUAGGAUGGAAAGAAAGAGAGAGAACCUUGCUAGUUGAUCCAGAUGAAAUUGACUGUUUAAAGAAAGUGGGCAGGCUGAAUGAAGAAGCUGAGUCCAUAUAUGAACUUUACAAGCACCCCAACCCGGCGUGUGAAGCUGGUUCAAUCUGGAAAGACAUUGUACUAUCACCUUCUAGACUAAAUAUUCAAAAGGAGCUGAAGUUUACCAUCCAGAAAGUGGAAAGAAUGACGCAGCACAAAAAGAGUUAAAAGCUUAUGAAUAUUCACCAAAAAAUUUACAUGCUGAAGGAGGUAUCUCAAUCCUUUUUCUAUAGUUAUGACCAAGAAUGUCUACUAAGGUUGUAUUAAAUCAUGAAGAAUAUGUGUAAAUUUUUUGUUACUAGCUUAGCUCAGUUCAGACUCUGGAACUGGAAAACAGAAUAUUCCCAUUAAUUGUUUCAAAUAAUCUACUAGUAUCGGUAGGUGUGGGGCUGAGCAUUGGAACUCCAAAGAGGAAUUUAAAAGUAAAAGAAAGAGAAAUUACAGCAGCAACUUAAGUGAGAUAAAUUCUUACUUCACAAUUCAAUUAACGCAGACUGUGCGUGGUUGCAAUUACCAUCAAAUUUAAAGACAUGCAUCCACACAAACAUGCACAUCUACAACAAAAGAUGAGUAUGGAUGCUAGCUUUCAAGCAAUAAAAAAGCAUAAUAAAUAUGAUAAUAACCAAAAGGAUCUGCAGCAUGAGAUAAUGCAGACCACUAUCAACGAACCUGGACAUCCCAUUAUUUUCCUUAAUUACAACUAAGAACCUUUUCAACGUUCAAAUAAAAAAUGAAUUGUUUAGCAAAUGGUUGUCAAUUGAUGAUCCACCCAUUAACAUGAAGAAAAUAAUGGUAAUCCAGAUUGUGAAUGAAAUCUGUAACUAGGAUCACAAUUUAUGAUACCUGGAAGUUAAAAGUGAAGCAUUUCACAUAUUCAAAAGAAUCCCCAUUUUCCGUAUAGUGAUUCUGCAAAUACAAACCAUUGUAAUAAUGAAACCACAGCAAUUUUUUCCCUUUUGGAACUGUUCUAUAAAAUACCAUAUUGUAGAGCUGUUCUUGAAAAAACAAUUGUUCUAAAUAGAAGCUGCUCUGAACAACAAUUGUUCUAAACAUAGUUCCUGAAAUGCAAUUAUUCUAAACAAAAGUUAUGGACAUUAGCUAUUAUCAAGAGAAGCCAUUCUAAGAUGAUAGCUACCUUGGAUGACAACUGUUCUAAAUGAAGCCUUGUUCUGAACAUAGUUGUUUCAAAUUUAGAUUCUCAAACAAUAAUUGUUCUAAACAGUAACUAUUCUAAACAAGAGUUGUUCUUCCAGAAGAGAUAUUAAUAGAAGCAACUCCACUACUUGUUUCGAGUUAAACUUUGUUACUAUCUUUGGAAGUUUAAGUUCUUAAAACAUAAUCUUAAUUAUCUCCGAAAAAAGAUAAGAUAUUAAUAGCCAAAACAAAGUAUCUACACACAUCUACUCCUUAAAAGGGCUGGGAAGAUAAUGAAAGCCUUGUCAAUAUCACUGAUGUUUAGAAUUUGUAUGAGUUUUGUACAGCAAAGAACGAGAAAGGUAAAAUGGAAUCAUUGUAAAAAAUAAAAAGAAAAUAAAGAAAUUUUCAAACGAAAUCAAUCAAGAUGUAGCAC
RNAcentral lists this long non-coding RNA (2830 nucleotides) under Gossypium barbadense (sea-island cotton). RNAcentral describes it as "long non-coding RNA (GBAR_LNC006921)". The record is from RNAcentral. Lineage: Eukaryota; Viridiplantae; Streptophyta; Magnoliopsida; Malvales; Malvaceae.